CAAUGAGCUCUUUUAGUGUAUGUCCAGUAGGUUUUCUCAAGGAGAAAGCCAAA
Molecule: non-coding RNA, 53 nt
Organism: Salmo salar (Atlantic salmon)
Lineage: Eukaryota; Metazoa; Chordata; Actinopteri; Salmoniformes; Salmonidae
Source: Rfam